This 524-nucleotide long non-coding RNA is filed under the name Homo sapiens (human). RNAcentral's name for it is "HSALNT0126283". The stretch from base 320 to 421 matches the Rfam family "Y RNA". Lineage: Eukaryota; Metazoa; Chordata; Mammalia; Primates; Hominidae. The record is from RNAcentral.
GGGACUAUAGGCACAUGCCACCAUGCCCGGCUAAUUCUUAUAUUUUUAGUAGAGAUGGGGUUUCACCAUGUUGGCCAGGCUGGUCUCAAACUCUUGGCCUCAAGUGACCUACCCGCCUCAGCGUCCCAAAUUGCUGGGAUUACAGGCUGAGCCACUGCGCCCGGCCAUAUCACACUUUAUAACCUGGGCAUGCAGGCCAAUUCCAACGUCUUCCAUUCAUCUGCUGAUGGUCUUAAGAUUCCAAGGGCAGCACCCUUAGCCCUUGCUCUUGGGGAGAAGAACUCACAGCACACCUCUCUCCAAAAAGAUCUUCUCUCUUGGCUGGUCAAAGUGCAGUGCUGUUUUCAAACAAUUUAUCACAACCAGUUACAAAUGUCUUUGUUCCUUCUCUACUCCCACUGCUUCACUCAACUAGCCUAAAAAAAGAAAAUAAAUUUAAAAAAAAAAAACAAAGAUAUCUUCUCUCCAAAGUUAAUUCUCUCUCCCUGUAAUUUCCAACAACUCUGCCAUUUUAUACAACUUUG